Molecule: long non-coding RNA, 27545 nt
Filed under: Chlamydomonas reinhardtii
Lineage: Eukaryota; Viridiplantae; Chlorophyta; Chlorophyceae; Chlamydomonadales; Chlamydomonadaceae
Description: long non-coding RNA (CREI_LNC001441)
Source: RNAcentral
AGAAAAGAAAGGUUACACUGGGCCUAAGCUCCUAGCGUGAGAUUAUCGGAGAAUCGCUUGCGAGUGCAACCCCAGCACUGCCAAGCCAACUCUACGGUCUGCACCACCGCAUCCUAGCCACCAUCAUCCUAGCACAUCCGAGCCACCUUAUCCUAGCCAAUCCGAGCCGCCCUAUCCUAGCCAUCACCCUAUGUCGCUAGGGAACGCCGCACUAAAGCUGCGGAGCACUGCCAGUUAAUUGCAACAUGCCAGAGCCAUGGCGCUCCUGCUUCGACCUUGGAUCUUGGACCUUGGACCGCACCUUGGACGCCUCUAAUUCGGACUUCUGCACCACGACCUUUUUCAUUCGUGGGAUCACCAAUCGGUUUCGCACCAAUCUUUCGCCUUUUGCAUAAUUGGGCUUUCAUCCGGAUUUGUACCCGGGUCCCUUCUGCCGUAAGGACGAUUCAAAUCGCUAAACUAGUUAGCGAUCCGGUGAUAGAGAGGCUCCACACACACGCUGUGAACAGUGCGGGCGGCAUUAUCAAAAUGCGCCGAGUAACCGAGCAGGAACUCAAAUCGAGAGGCGGGUGAGCCACGGCUCCCCCACACCUCCUUGGAGUGCGUGGUGAGGUGGCAGCGCGAGGGGGAUGGGCCUCCUCGCCCUAGCCACCUUACCCCGAUAAUCCACGCCAGGCCCCAUGGGCCGGCGUUUGAAUUAUUAUUAUUAUUAUAAUCCCUACCUGCCACACCCAUCCCCGUCAUCAUCACAGAUCCUUUGCGCUGCAUACCAGGGGGGUCGACAGGGGGGCGCCGCCCCCCUGUCCAUUUCCGGGGGGUGCAGGGGGGCUGGCCCCCCUGCGGGAAAGAAAUGAGAUGCUUCCUUAGUUCCUCCCUUAUCCGCCUUCUCCCCCGCCUGUCAUCCCACUGCCUCCCCUUGGGGGCGCGCGGGGGCAUGUGGAUCUAAGGGCCUCUUAUUAUUAUUAUCCUAACAGCGAAGUGCUUGCUAGUGAAUGCGAAUGCAAGACGCCGUCGCGAGCUCCAGGCUAAGCACGAAAGAAAUUAGUGUUAGCGGCAAUGCGGUUACUUGUUACCGUCGAGACGAGACACCGGUGCGCGCUCCACGCUGCUCCGCAUUCGGCACGCCAAACGGAGUCCGAGUGUCGUGGAGACUGCUGCCACUUGCGGACGGACGUGUUCCAGCGGGCGGACGUGUUCCAGCUCGCAACUAGGCUGCUGCCAUUCGCCGCGACAACGCGAAACCCACAAAAUGCACCCACCUGGAACGGAGCCAGGCAUCUGCGGGCGCCCAUGGAGCAUAUGCGUGGGCAAACGGAAAAAAACGGGAGAAGAAAGAAGCGGCGUGGCGGAUGUCAGUAACCGAUGCCGGCCAACAUUAUUGACGUGCUUGAAAAAGCGCAACACGCACAGGCGAACAUGCAUUGUAGAGCCGAGGCCAGUGAGCUAGCCGGCCAAAGUUGCCGAGCAAGUGAAGCAGGGUGGCUGCCUAGCUGGGCCCGGGCUGAUUAGAGGGCUGAACGGCGGCUGCACCGGGCGAGCUGUACUGGUAGUAUGUACUGGUGCCGGCCAAGCAUGGUAAGUAUGGGCGCCGCUGCAUGGAUCCCGCCCCCAUGUGCCGCGGCGAGGCUGGCGGCGGACCGCUGUGUGGUUCCCCACACCCGUCCAGGGACCGGCCCACGCACGGUGCAGCGGGGCCGGCCGGGUGGGGGGAACCGUGCUGACAGCUGAGUGGGCGGCGGGCGGAGGGCUGGCCGAGGGGAACGAGGUCGGUGCGUGUCCACGGCAUGUACCCGAAACCGCGGAAAAGCCAAAUCAAGAACCAAAUUGUGCCAAUUGUGCGGCCGCGUGAAUGCUCAGGCUGCACCCGUAAGCGAGAGGCUCGUAACGUAAGCAAGCUAAGCCCGCGCAUUUGCCGGGGCUCUCGCACAAACAAUGUGGGCAAGCCCUUGGAAACGUGCCAAACGGAAGUGGUCCAAAGCGGCAAUGAGCUGCAGUGCACGCCCAUGCUCGUUGGAGACAAGGACAAGCCUAUUAGUGUAGCACUCCUGCAUGGAUGCUCCUCAGCACAUCAGAGAGCGUGCGCAAGAAGUUCCUUCCAGACCUGCUGGUCAUUCCCACACUUCGGAUGCACAUGUCCAGACAGCCAGCCCGUGCACCCCGCACACGCCGCCAAAGGAGCGCCCAUAAGGUCUACGUCAUAGAAGUAGGGAUACUGCUCGGACCUAAACCACCCGGACAAACGGGCAGAGAAACUGCAACAACAUGAGGACCUCGUUGCCGCUCUCCGCGACGCAGGAUGGGACGUGAUGUACAGCCCAGACACUGUAGUUAUCCUUGGCCAUACCGGCACGGUCACACCCCACCUUCAUGCCCUCCUCAAAACACUAGGAUGCCCCACGCAGUCCGCACACCACACAUGCCGUAAACUAGUUCAGCACGCCGUCCACACCACAACCGCCAUCACAGCCCUCCACCACGAAAUCUACAGCCACAAAUGGCCCGGGAGACCACCAUAAAACCGUAUGAACCGCUGUGGGAAAGGGGCCAGGCCCAGUACGCCUAGGCGCACUGGCAACCUCCCCUCUCUCCCUUGGGGGACAGGGGCUCAGCGGCGGAGACCAUCUAUGCGGUGGUCUCUCAUGCCCUCACGCCCCUACCUCCGCAGAACACGCCCUGUCAUGCAGGGAGUACCUAUUAUUAUUAUUAUAAUUCCUAUAUCAUAAGAAGAAUAAUAAUAGAAACCGGACUUAGCCGCGCGGGCGAUCCUCCGAGGGUGGGGGGGGGGCCGGGGCCCCGGGCGUGAGGGACCCAGCUUUGUUGUGAGGAGCGUCGCGCGUGCUCACGACAUAGCUGGGGCCGCAUACGGGAGUGCGCUCCGCGGCGUUUGUGUCGGAACCGCGGCCAUUUGCUGUCCGGGCAGCCGUGAGGGACCCAGUUUUGUAAAUACAGCGCACAGAAUUUGGCCCCCCACUUAAGAACGCUGCGUCGCCGAGUUGAGGUCCGGAUCUGCGCGAGCACCGGUGUGUGGCCGCGUGUCCCCAUAAAAGGGACCCAUAUUUAUAUAUAGCAAUUACAUGCGCCUCAGGAACCGGCAAGGUGGCGCUGCGAGGUUGGUCGGCAACGUCUAACUCGCGCACGGCCCUACGGGCCGGUUGUGUCCCCAGCCAAGUACCAUUCGUAUAACAUCUACUACCGCAUUAGAGUAACUCCGGGGCACUUCAUUGAGCCGGGGCCGACCUCAAACAUCUACAUGUGACAGUCGCGUUCGCCAGGACACGCCAUAUCAGGCCAGAUAGUAGCCUGAUUACAUCUAUGCAGAUAUCUGUGUUGACGGCAAUUGAUCACGCCCCAAAACAACGCCGAUGUUGGUCGGUCAAUGUCGUGACUUGAGCGUCGGCGAGCACGUUUUAGCCUGCCGUCAAGCGCUAUUGCUACAAUAGAUUGCAUGUAACAUAUACAUUGAGUGGCGGAGUCUGUAUCCCGCUCUGCGUUUUGUUUGGGGCACCGUCUCCUGGCCUCCUCAACUGGCGGGUUUGGCUUGAAAACCCCCUGAUAUAUUGUCCUUCAGUUAGGGACGGCGUGGUGGCAUCCUUAAAGAACUAUCUAUCAGGGGGUUUUGGGUGCCGUCAGGUGGGCGCCUCCCUGGGGACACGAUUUGUCCUGGAGUGGGAGAGGGUGCAAUGUCCCCAUAGGCCGACAAUGCAAUCUAGCAUGCAGGGGGCUAGGAAGGGACCAAUGCAAUCUAGAACCACCGGCGGUCCCUUGACACCCUUAGGGGCACGCCCCAUGGAUCGCAUGGCGGUCCGCCGGGUGGAGGUGGCUGGACGCGUGUGCGUGCACUCGUGCAUGCCGUGCUGCGGCCGGGCAUGCGGGCUUCAGGGUGGGUCUGGUGCCGAAGUUGAAUAAUAUUAUUAUUAUUAUUAUUAUUAUUAUUAUUAUUAUUAUUAUUAUUAUUAUUAUUAUUAUUAUUAUUAUUAUUAUUAUUAUUAUUAUUAUUAUUAUUAUUAUUAUUAUUAUUAUUAUUAUUAUUAUUAUUAUUAUUAUUAUUAUUAUUAUUAUUAUUAUUAUUAUUAUUAUUAUUAUUAUUAUUAUUUGCCCCCGCUUUUAAGGGUCUCGCUAGAUUUUUUGGCUUUCGGCGCCAUAGACGCCGCGCCGCGCCCUCGUUCGCGCGCCCGGCGCGCAAGUCUGAAAGCCCGCAACCCCGCGCACCUAUAACCCCGCGAAACCGCGCGCGGCGCGCGCGGCAGCGCGAGAACCCGCCCAACCACCGCGACCCAAGCACAGGCGCCGCGCGAUCCGGGCGCUGGCUCCUGCGCGCGCGGCAGCGCUGCUGUGGCCGCGCGCGCGCCCGCGGCGCGCCGGUGCCGGGGAUGGCUUUAGGCAGGCGCGAGCCGCGCUGCUGCACGCGCAGCGCGGCGCCCGGGAUAGCCGUGAUUCCGCCGCCGCGCCGUCAAUGAUCACUAGCACCACCGCUGGUGGCGCUCUCGCCAUGCACCCGCGAGCGUAUCCGCUGGUGAUACACGUGAACAGUAUUGCUCAUGACAUGGCUCAUGAUAUUGGCGCGGCAAACGUUGGAAAACGCACGCAAACGUUGGAGCCCACGUUUUGUAAUUCCGAGGAGGGGUUGCACGCGGCCGGUGGUGGCCCAUUUCAUGCCGCUGCUUUGUUUGCACGGCCUUCACAUGCCUACCGGUGCUGCGGCAGUUUGCGGGUCCGUGUUGAUUGGUCGCGUGCUUGUACAGCCGAUGUACAUGCAGUUGUAACCCGUAGAUCUUGUGGGCGGCCGCACCGCCCGUGGGUCGGCUGUCAGCAUGCUUCCGUGCUGCCACUACUGCCACGCCCGCUGAACCCAUGGCAGCAGCACACUAUCUAACUAGCUAGGGUCGCCUCGCAGCCAUGCAUCAGUUGCGCACAGCGCGCAACUCCCGCGCACCGAGGGCAAGCCGCUGAUGACAGGUGCGUUUUCAAGCGGCCAAUGACAGCAGCCUGUCACACGGCCGCCCCUGCAGCAAGCGAAACAAGCCGGCGCCCGGUUGCUGUGCUGUGUACCCGCGUCAGCACCGCACACACACACACACACACACACGUUGUAUUUACCGCUUUCCCGUGCACGCGGCCACACACAGUUGCAGGCAUUAGAGCAGGCAUCAGUGCAGGCGCGGCGUGGCGUUUCAGGUGAGCUAUUGCUUGCUGCCUGCUUGUUGGCGUGGCCUGAGUUCCCUUGCUGGGGCGUGCUGGGCAAGCGCAUUAACCCGCGCUGGUGCAUGCCUGCAGGCGCUGCGCUGAUGCUGUUGGUUUUUUCCCUGACCGUCGGCUUUGAGUAGUCCAACGUGCGCGUGCGUGGCCGGGGUAUUAUUCAGCUGGGUUCGUGCGUGCACAAAGGUAACGUGCGCCGCACGGUUUAAUGCGCUUGCUCCCCUGCCUGUUGUUUGUCCCGCUGCAGUUGAGGCUUAUUGCAAGCGCAAUCAGGCUGCGCGGCGUGCCACUACCGUGCAGUGGAGCCUGGGCCGUUUCCUAUACCUGGUGUUGCAGAGUUCAAAGUGUACAACACGCUAGCUAACCCUCCUGGCAUACUUUUAACGGCGCGAACAGUUCCAGCAACGCUGAUGGCGCAUACGGUUCUCGUGCCAUAAAAUAGAAAUUCCUAACGUAUGUCUUCAUAGUUGGCUUCGUUGCUGCCGCUACAAGGUUUGCUUAAUAACCCACCCGUUCACAUACCUUGCCACACGAUGCUGCAUGACCGCCCGUGCCACAAACUAUUUCCAAGUGCACGGCAGAGCUUUCACCCCUUCCAGUCCUGCCUUUCCACACGUCGCCCCAAUGUCGGCCUGCAUGUAGCUUGCCUCGGACCAUACAUCCGCAGUGCUCCACCUGCCCCUCGAUCCCUGGGGGGUCCGACAGGGGGGCGCCGCCCCCCUGUCAAAGAGAGAACCCGGGGCCCGAGGGAUGAAUAGUAAUGAUCCUCCCAACAGUGAUAAUGCUGCACAUCGCGCCGCGUUCCAGGGGGGUCGACAGGGGGGGCGCCGCCCCCCUGUCCAUUUCCGGGGGGUGCAGGGGGGCUGGCCCCCCUGCGGGAAUACCUGUGUUACGCCCGCCUCAAAUGCUUCCCCGCCCUCCGGCUCUUCAAUGUGGCCACCCUCGGGGGCGGGCGGGGGCAUGCGUGUCUAGAGGCCUUGUUAUUAUUGGCGCCGCCGCCGCGCACCUGGUUGCGCGCCUGGCCGGGCCGCCCGAAAGCCAGCACGCUCUUCUAGGCCCUGGCGCUGCCCCGCGCGCGCGCCGCGCGACCCAGCGCGAGAGCCCGCCCAACCGCCGCGAUCCAGCCGCUGGCUCCCCGGAUCCGGGCGCCGGCUCCGCGCGGCGCCAGCUUGCGCGGCGCGCGGCCAUCCCGCGCCCGCCGGGCUGCGGGAGCCGCGCGCUGCCGCCCCCUACAAAUGGGCGCCACCGGCGGCCGCCACCGCGCGCCAAGCUAGCUGCCAGGCCAGUGUUUGUGCCGGCCGCCCCCAUGAUGAGCGCUAGUGCUUAUCGCUGGUGGUGGCAUCAGCUGUGACGUGUCCAAACAUGUUGGCUAGCGUAUCAUUACAUGUUUAUACAUUUUAUACAUUGCUUAUAUACUUGCUGCACCAUUACUAGCCGCGCGCCGUUGCAAAACCAGCCGGAAACCGCUCGGGGCAGCGGUCGCCUUGCCCCGCCUGCUGCCCAGCCGCGCUAUGCUGCCGCGACUGAUCCAGCUGGGCUGCGCCUGCAGCAUCGCAGCCAAAAUGUGCAUGCAGUGCGAGUGGCAGGCGCGCGCGAAUGAAAACCCACAUAUGCCCAACUGCCGCCGCAUCGGCCCACUUUAGUUCCACAAACGCCCACCAACUGCUGCAUGCGGCGUUAGUGUGUUGCAGUCACCUCGCCGGCGCCGGGUCCUAUGCAAUGCACUGCGCCUGUGUUUGUUAUGUUAUUCUUGGUGUGGGACUGCAAAUGAACACCGGCAGACAUGCACCAGUGAAAGGCCACAUGUGCGCAACUGCUGCCAGCCAACUAACUGCCCAACCGCCCAGUUGCGUGCAGUUACUUGGCCAGCUCCUAUGCACUGUUCUUAUGUCGGUGCUUAAAUUGUAUGAUCAUGAAAACCAUUACAAUAAUAUGCAGCUGCCUCGUGCACCAUGCGCGCUGUCAUGUGCAAGUGUGGUUGUGCAGUCGGCUCAACAGCCGAGCAAAACCAGCAGUUACACGCCCUCCCACUUUCCAAAACGGGUGCUCCCUUUAUGCACAAGCCAGCGCAAAUGCAUGAUGCUAUCAUUUGUGAACAGGUGCCCCUGCUUAGUGCACCUGCCUCCAGUGCAACCCCUUGCAGUGCAACAGAGGCACAACCCAGCUGCAUCCAAGCAAGCAAUAUGCGCUCCACGCAUGCUAUAACUGUGCCACACAGCACGUGCGGGUGGAGUCCAGUUCAUGUCCGUGCAACAAUUGUUUGCAACCAUCCCGCCAGCAAUGCAGUUCUAGCCUGCGUCCUCGCCUUCCUCCCACCCAAACGUUCCGCAUGCCGGUGCAUGUAUUAGGCUCCCCUCUCACCCAUACCCUAGCCACCAUUUCACCUUGGGGGGCCCGACAGGGGGGCGCCGCCCCCCUGUCAAAGAGAAGCGACGGGCCACGAGGGGGGCGGGUAAUAAUCCCUACCCGCCACACCCCCCCCCUCAUCAUCACAGUUCCUUUGCGCUGCAUACCAGGGGGGUCGACAGGGGGGCGCCGCCCCCCUGUCCAUUUCCGGGGGGUGCAGGGGGGCUGGCCCCCCUGCGGGGGAAAAAAUGAGAUGCUUCCUUAGUUGCUCCCUUCUCCUCCUUCUCCCCCGCCCCUCAUCCCACCGGCUCCCCUUGGGGGCGCGCGGGGGCAUGUGGAUCUAAGGGCCUCUUAUUAUUAUUAUUAUUAUUAUUAUUAUUAUUAUUAUUAUUAUUAUUAUUAUUAUUAUUAUUAUUAUUAUUAUUAUUAUUAUUAUUAUUAUUAUUAUUAUUAUUAUUAUUAUUAUUAUUAUUAUUAUUAUUGCCCCCGCUCUUAAGGGUCUCGCUAGAUUUUUUGGCUUUCGGCGCAUAGACGCCGCGCCGCGCCCUUGUUCGCGCGCCCGGCGCGCUAGUCUGAAAGCCCGCAACCCCGCGCACCUAUAACCCCGCGCAACCGCGCGCGGCGCGCGUGGCAGCGCGAGAACCCGCCCAACCGCCGCGACCCAAGCACAGGCGCCGCGCGAUCCGGGCGCCGGCUCCCGCUGCUGUGGCCGCGCGCGCGCCCUCGGUGCACCGGUGCCGGGGUUGGCUUUACGCAGGCGUGCGCCGCGCUGACGCGCGUGCAGCGCGGUGCCCGGGAUAGCCGUGAUUCCGCCGCCGCGGUGUCGAUGAUCACUGGCACCACCGCUGGCGGUGCUCUCGCCAUGCACCCGCGAGUGUAUCCGCUGGUGAUACACGUGAACAGUAUUGCUCAUUACAUGGCUCAUGAUAUUGGCGCGGCGAACGUUGGAAAAACGCACGCAAAUGUUGGAGCCCACGUUUCGUAACUCCGAGGUGGGGUUGCACGCGGCCGGCGGUGGCCUGGUUCAUGCCGCUGCUUUGUUUGCACGGCCUUCUUCACAUGCCUACCAGUGCUGCGGCAGUUUGCGGGUCCGCGUUGGUCGCGUGCUUGUACCGCCGACGUACGCGCAGUUGUAACCCGCGGAUCUUGUGGGCGGCCGCACCGCCCGUGGGUCACCUGUCAGCAUGCUUCCGUGCUGCCACUACUGCCACGCCCACUCAACCCAUUGCAGCAGCACACUAUCUAACUAGCUAGGGCCGCCUCGCAGCCAUGCAGUAAUUGCGCACAGUGCGCAAAUCCCGCGCGCCGAGGGCAAGCUGCUGAUGACAGGUGCGUUUUCAAGCGGCCAAUGACAGCAGCCUGUCACACGGCAGCCCCUGCAGCAAGCGAUACAAGCCGGCGCCCAGUUGCUUUCCCGUUUACCCGCGGCGGCUCCGUUGUUCAGCUCCGCACACACAUACGUUGUAUUUACCGCUUUCCCGUGCACGCGGCCACACACAGUUGCAGGCAUCAGCGCAGGCGCGGCGUGGCGUUUCAGGUAAGCUGUUGUUUGCUGCCUGCUUGUUUGCGUGGCCUGAGUUCCCUUGCUGGUGCUAGCUGGGCUCACUCCAUAUCCUGCUCGGCGUGUUUGCAGGGCAGCCAUCCAUGCACCAGUGCGGUGCUGGCGUGCUGCUCGCACGUGAUAUGGACGUUCUUAACCCGCGCUGGUGCAUGCCUGCAGGCGCCGCGCUGACGCUGUGGGUUUGUUUCCUGACCGUCGGCUGUCAGUAGUCCAACGUGCGCGUGCGUGGCCGGGGUAUUAUUCAGCUGGGUUCAUGCGUGCACAAAGGUACUUUGUGGGCCGCAUGGUUUAAAGCGCUUGCUCCCCUGCCUGUUGUUUGUCCCGCUGCAGUUGAGGCUUAUUGCAAGCGCAACCAGGCUGCGCGGCGCACCACUACUGUGCAGUGGAGCCUGGGCCGUCUUCUACACCUGGUGUUGCAGAGUUCAAAGUGUACAACACGCUAGCUAACCCUCCUGGCAUACUUUUAACGGCGUGAACAGUUCCAGCAAUGCUGCUGGCGCAUACAGUUCUCGUGCCAUAAUUAGAAGUUCAUAACGUAUGCCUUCAUAGUUGACUUCGUUGCUGCUGCUACAAGGUUUGCUUCAUAACCCACCCGUUCACAUACCUUGCGACACGAUGCUGCAGGACCGCCCGUGCCACAAGCGAUUUCCAUGUGCACGGCAGAGCUUUCGCCCCUUCCAGUCCUGACUUUCCACACGCCGCCCCAAUGUCGGCCUGCAUGUACCUUGCUUGCCUGGGACCAUACUUCAGCCAUGCUCCACCUGCCCCUCAAUCCCUGGGGGGUCCGACAGGGGGGCGCCGCCCCCCUGUCAAAGAGAGAACCCGGGGCCCGAGGGAUAGGUAGUAAUGAUCAUCCCAACAAUGUUAAUGCUGCACUUCGCGCCGCGUUCCAGGGGGGUCGACAGGGGGGCGCCGCCCCCCUGUCCAUUUCCGGGGGGUGCAGGGGGGCUGGCCCCCCUGCGGGAAUACCUUUGUUACGCCCGCCUCAAAUGCUCCCCCGCACUCCUGCUCUUUCAUGUGGCCACCCUCGGGGGCGGGCGGGGGCAUGCGGGUCUAGAGGCCUUGUUAUUAUUAUUAUUAUUGCCCCCGCUCUUAAGGGUCUCGCUAGAUUUUUUGGCAUUCGGCGCCAUAGACGCCGCGCCGCGCCCUCGUUCGCGCGCCCCGCGCGCUAGUGUGAAAGCCCGCAACCCCGCGCACCUAUAACCCCGCGAAACCGCGCGCGGCGCGCGCGGCAGCGCAAGAACCCGCCCAACCGCCGCGACCCAAGCACGGGCGCCCCACGAUCCGGGCGCCGGCUCCCGCGUGCGCGGCAGCGCUGCUCCGGCCGCGCGCGCGCCCUCAGCGUGCCGGUGCCGGGGUUGGCUUUAGGCAGGCGCGAGUUGCGCUGCCGCGCGCACAGCGCGGCGCCCGGGAUAGCCGUGAUUCCGCCGCCGCGCCGUCGAUGAUCACUGGCAUCACCGCUGGUGGUGCUCUCGCCAUGCACCCGCGAGUGUAUCCGCUGGUGAUACACGUGAACAGUAUUGCUCAUUACAUGGCUCAUGAUAUUGGCGCAGCGAACGUUGGAAAAACGCACGCAAACGUUGGAGCCCACGUUUUGUAACUCCGAGGUGGGGUUGCACGCGGCCGGCGGUGGCCUGGUUCAUGCCGCUGCUUUGUUUGCACGGCCUUCACAUGCCUACCAGUGCUGCGGCAGUUUGCGGGUCCGCGUUGGUCGCGUGCGUGUACGGCCGAUGUACGUGCAGUUGUAACUCGCGGAUCUUGGCGGCUGCCGCACCACCCGUGGGUCACCUGUCAGCAUGCUUCCGUGCUGCCACGCCCGCUCAACCCAUUGCAGCAGCACACUAACUAGCUAGGGCCGCCUCGCAGCCAUGCAGUCAUUGCGCACAGCACGCAGGUCCCGCGCGCCGAGGGCAAGCUGCUGAUGACAGGCGCGUUUUCAAGCGGCCAAUGACAGCAGCCUGUCACACGGCAGCCCCUGCAGCAAGCGAUACAAGCCGGCGCCCAGUUGCUUUCCCGUUUACCCGCGGCGGCUCCUUUGUUCAGCUCCGCACACACAUACGUUGUAUUUACCGCUUUCCCGUGCCCGCGGCCACACACAGUUGCAGGCAUCAGCGCAGGCGCGGCGUGGCGUUUCAGGUAAGCUGUUGUUUGCUGCCUGCUUGUUUGCGUGGCCUGAGUUCCCUUGCUGGUGCUGGGUCUCACUCCAUAUCCUGCUCGGCGUGUUUGCAGGGCAGCCAUCCAUGCACCAGUGCGGUGCUGGCGUGCUGCUCGCACGUGAUAUGGACGUUCUUAACCCGUGCUGGUGCAUGCCUGCAGGCGCCGCGCUGACGCUGUGGGUUUGUUUCCUGACCGUCGGCUGUCAGUAGUCCAACGUGCGCGUGCGUGGCCGGGGUAUUAUUCAGCUGGGUUCAUGCGUGCACAAAGGUACUUUGUGGGCCGCAUGGUUUAACGCGCUUGCUCUCCUGCCUGUUGUUUGUCCCGCUGCAGUUGAGGCUUAUUGCAAGCGCAACCAGGCUGCGCGGCGCGCCACUACUGUGCAGUGGAGCCUGGGCCGUCUUCUACACCUGGUGUUGCAGAGUUCAAAGUGUACAACACGCUAGCUAACCCUCCUGGCAUACUUUUAACGGCACGAACAGUUCCAGUAACGCUGCUGGCGCAUACAGCUCUCGUGCCAUACUUAGAAGUUCCUAACUUAUGCCUUCAUAGUUGACUUCGUUGCUGCCGCUACAAGGUUUGCUUCAUAACCCACCCGUUGACAUACCUUGCCACACGAUGCUGCAGGACCGCACGUGCCACAAGCGAUUUCCAUGUGCACGGCAGAGCGUUCACCCCUUCCAGUCCUGACUUUCCACACGCCGCCCCAAUGUCGGCCUGCAUGUAGCUUGCCUGGGACCAUACUUCCGCCAUGCUCCACCUGCCCCUCAAUCCCUGGGGGGUCCGACAGGGGGGCGCCGCCCCCCUGUCAAAAAAUGAACCCGGGGCCCGAGGGAUCGGUAGUAAUGAUCAUCCCAACAAUGAUAAUGCUGCACUUCGCGCCGCGUUCCAGGGGGGUCGACAGGGGGGCGCCGCCCCCCUGUCCAUUUCCGGGGGGUGCAGGGGGGCUGGCCCCCCUGCGGGAAUACCUUUGUUACGCCCGCCUCAAAUGCUUCCCCGCCCUCCGGCUCUUUCAUGUGGCCACCCUCGGGGGCGGGCGGGGGCAUGCGGGUCUAGAGGCCUUGUUAUUAUUUGCCCCCGCUCUUAAGGGUCUCGCUACACGUUUUGGGUUACGGCGCCAUAGACGCCGCGCUGCCACCUCGUUCGCGCGCCCGGCGCGCAAGUCUGAAAGCCCGCAGCCCCGCGCACCUAUAACCCCGCGAAACCGCGCGCGGCGUGCGCGCCAGCACGACAACCCGCCCAACCGCCGCGACCCAAGCACGGGCGCCGCGCGAUCCAGGCGCGGGCUCCCGCGCGCACGGCAGUGCUGCUCCGGCCGCGCGCGCGCCCUCGGCGCACCGGUGCCGGGGUUGGCUUUAGGCAGGCGCGAGUCGCGCUGCCGCGCGCGCAGCGCGGCGCCUGGCAUUGCCGUGUUCCCGCCGCCGCGCUGUCAAUGAUCACUGGCACCACCGCUGGUGGUGCUCUCGCCAUGCACCCGCGAGCGUAUCCGCUGGUGAUACACGUGAUCAGUAUUGCUCAUGACAUGGCUCAUGAUAUUGGCGCGGGACAUGUUGGAAAAAUGCACGCAAACGUUGGAGCCCACGUUUGUAACUCCGAGGAAGGGUUGCACGCGGCCGGCGGUGGCCCGUUUAAUGCUGCUGCUUUGUUUGCACGGCCUUCACAUGCCUACCAAUGCUGCGGCAGUUGGCGGGUCGGCGUUGAUCGUGUGCAUGUACGGCCGAUGUACGUGCAGUUGUAACCCGCGGAUCUUGGCGGCAGCCGCACCGCCCGUGGGUCACCUGUCAGCAUGCUUCCGUGCUGCCACGCCCGCUCAACCCAUUGCAGCAGCACACUAAUAACUAGCUAGGGCCGCCUCGCAGCCAUGCAGUCAUUGCGCACAGCACGCAGGUCCCGCGCGCCGAGGGCAAGCUGCUGAUGACAGGCGCGUUUUCAAGCGGCCAAUGACAGCAGCCUGUCACACGGCAGCCCCUGCAGCAAGCGAUACAAGCCGGCGCCCAGUGCUUUCCCGUUUACUUGCGGCGGCUCCUUUGUUCAGCUCCGCACACACAUACGUUGUAUUUACCGCUUUCCCGUGCACGCGGCCACACACAGUUGCAGGCAUCAGCGCAGGCACGGCGUGGCGUUUCAGGUAAGCUGUUGUUUGCUGCCUGCUUGUAGAUAGGCGUGGCCUGAGUUCCCUUGCUGGUGCUGGGUCUCACUCCAUAUCCUGCUCGGCUUGUUUGCAGGGCAGCCAUCCAUGCACCAGUGCGGUGCUGGCGUGCUGCUCGCACGUGAUAUGGACGUUCUUAACCCGCGCUGGUGCAUGCCUGCAGGCGCCGCGCUGACGCUGUGGGUUUGUUUCCUGACCGUCGGCUGUCAGUAGUCCAACGUGCGCGUGCGUGGCCGGGGUAUUAUUCAGCUGGGUUCAUGCGUGCACAAAGGUACUUUGUGGGCCGCAUGGUUUAACGCGCUUGCUCCCCUGCCUGUUGUUUGUCCCGCUGCAGUUGAGGCUUAUUGCAAGCGCAACCAGGCUGCGCGGCGCGCCACUACUGUGCAGUGGAGCCUGGGCCGUCUCCUAUACCUGGUGCUGCAGAGUUCAAAGUGUACAACGCGCCAGCUAACCCUCCUGGCAUACUUUUAACGGCGCGAACAGUUCCAGUAUCGUACCAACCUUCCCUCUCCGACUCUGGCCCUCACGCAUGGCCACUCUGACGGAGACCACCCCCCCUGACAACCCAGGCCUUUGGCGUAACGUUGUCCUGCCAGUCCCCAAAUCCACCAUAGAAGCAACACGGACAAAAAUAGAACACAACCUUGCGACACCCAUCGCCGCCCUGACCAAUGCACUGCAUCCAGCCACCACGGCAAUCCAGUCCCACCUGGCCCAACAUGCAACGGGAGCCACCACAGCCGUAGAAUUGCAGGACGCCCUACAACAAGACCCAGCAGUUCAGACACCCAACCUUGAUGCUCUAGCCGCCCAACUGCAUGACAUACUGACAGACGGACUGAGCAUCCUUGUAGAUAUGUGCCCGAAGAAACCCCCAGUACGUGGGGCGUUCAUCCCGCGCCGACUCAGCAAAAAAACUACGAAAGGCUCAUGAUGAAAUCAAACAACUACGCACACAAUGCGACCAACUUAACAACACAACCCCCAACACACACCCCGCAGCAGCCACCCAACCAGAAACGGGCCCUACCCAACCAGAGGCUGGGACAGCGACAACCACCCCUUCCCCCCCUCAGCCCGCCGAGAAUGGGGAAACCCACCCAGCAACAGCUGUCACGCCGCAACCCGCCCGCAGCCCACGACCGCCCCCAGGCACCCGUGCCAUAGCGGAGUUAAUCGAGAAGAUUAAAACCGCGGGACAAUCCCUACGCAAACUUCUCAAGAAACAAACACAAGAUGAUAUCAAAAAAGCCAAAGCCCGUUUCCAGCACAAACUUGCCACACGAGCCAAACAAGCCCAUAAGGACAUUUUCUCCACAAACGAGCAAACACGAGGUAUCCCUGCACUCCUACACCCACACACCAAAGCACACUGCACCGACAAAUCCUCAAUACUGGACGCCAUCCAUACCUACUUCCAGGGCCAGGGAGCCACCAUCACUGGACCCCGAACAGGAAAAUAUAAGCCUGAAGAUAGACUGCCCAACAAUACCUACCCAUUCGACCCUAAAUACAAGAACAGUGCCCCUGACACCUUUACCCUACACAGCGCAACCACACCACCAACGCACGCGCUGCUCCCCAGCAUUGCUGACAGCACCAACUUUGACUCGUGCAUUGACCACCUGAGCCGCAACAAGUCCCCAGGACCAGAUGGCAUACCCAAUGAGUUGCUUCGCGCCUUACCGCAAACCUUGCGUAGCACUCUGCAUAACCUCCUUACCCUGAUGUGGGUGAGGGCACACACACCAGCCUCGUGGACGGCCAGCGAAACAGUCCUGCUUCCCAAACCAGGAGACCCGCUCCUCCUAAAAAAAUUACCGGCCCAUUGCACUUGCCAAUACUACAUAUAAACUCUGGACAAGCCUUAUAACCGUAGCCAUAUCUGACAUCUCACACGACCUAGACUUAUUCAGCGAGACACAAGAAGGGUUUCUGCGGUACCGCAACACGGAACGACAAACUCUAAACCUAGUGCACGCACUAGAAGAUGCAGGCCUGACCAAACAAGACAUAUAUGUGAUGUAUGCCGACUUCUCAAGCGCCUUCAACACAAUCUCACACGACAGGCUUUUGGAAAUUAUGUGGGACCUCGGCAUGCCACACGACCUGAUUCGUGUGGUCCAAAACCUCUACUCCAAUGCGCGCACCUACAUACGCUCUGAACAUGGCCUGACUGCCCCUAUCUACAUUGAACGUGGCACUGUACAAGGAGACACACUCUCACCCGUCCUAUUCCUGGUGUUCAUAGAACCACUCAUCCGCUGGCUGCAUGUUGGGGGGCGCGGCUACUCCUACGGCUGCCUACCACCCCACCUGAAUGCCCGCUACAACUGCUCCUCCGCAGCCUACGCCGAUGACCUGGCAGUGCUUACAAACACCUUAAGCGACCUCCGAAUCCAAUGCGACAAAAUACACCGGUACUCUGAGUGGGCAGGCCUCCAGGUUAACCACGCAAAGUGCAGAGUCACUGGUAUCCUGCACCACAGAGCCAUGCAAGACAAGGGUCUGAACGGGCCCACCUGCAACCGUACACUAAGAUCAAUGCUGGACAACAAAAUCCACAUUGGCACCACAAGUAUACCCUACCUUCCAGCGACGGAACCGUUCAAGUACCUCGGUGUGCAAGUCACAAUGACCCUAAACUGGGGGCCCCAAUUUGCGUACCUAUGCAAAAAUAUCACGGACAAAAGCCUAAGCCUCCAAACAUGUCAAGCCUCACCAGAGCAAUGCCUGCGCAUCAUCAAAUCGUGCAUUCAAUCCGUUGCUGCAUAUAGUUUCGCCGUCAUGCCCUACACGGAAAAUGACAUACGCACACUUGACAAUAUGAUCGCACGCCUGGCCAGAACAUGCUAUCGCCUCAGCCGCGGGUUCCCCACGCGAGCCGUCCUAACGCCAGCAGAAAUGUCCGGCCUAGGAGUCGGCUCCCUGCUCCCAAUCUAUGUGCAGAAAGCAACACGGGCCCUAACAUUGGCCCUGAAUGACCCAGGCCGCCUGGGAAUGGUCACACAUGCCCUGCUUGAACUACAGACCAGAAUAGCCGGCACUACAGACAUGCACAAACUCCGCCAUGAAAGCCACUACUAUACGACACUGAAACAACUCAGCAUCAUGCGCGCCUAUAACCUCACCAUAUGGGACCACGGGGCCCCAUACAAAGGGCCACCCAACAUACUGCUAACCGCAAUCAGCCGCAGCUCACACCCUAUCUCACACCACUUGGUCCUUACCUUGACACAAGCCGGCCUUGAUUUGCGAAACCUUGUAGGUAAAGAGCGUACACCCGAGGGGCGCGCAUGCCUCAUUCCUUCUGACAUCCUCUUCCAACACCUGCCACGCAACCAAUGCCAGCAUAAGCACCGAGUGGCCCUAAACCGCCUUAGCCUAUGCCUGAGCGCGGAAUGCGAUGGUGCCCGUGAGGCACCUUUCAACCAGGCUGAAAACUACAAAUGUCACUUACCCCUUCCGCAGCGAUACAGAGCCCUACCCAACACGCCAGCCUUUGCCGCCCUCCUACCCCGCAAUGCCACCCCGGGCGAGCUAACAACCCAAUCUACGAUGGACGCCCACCUCCAACACAUGACUGCAUUACACCCCAAUACCGAGGCUCAAACACCCCAACACCCAAAUGGCCUAGGCCCCCGCCAGCGCCAAACCAUGUUAGCCCACAUGCUGAGAACAACAGGUGCCCCACCCACAGCACCAACCCAGUCGCCAACGGCAACUCUAAUUCAAACUCCGACAGACACACUGCCUACCCCGCCACUAGCACAACCCAUGCCACCGCCACUAACACAGCCCACGCCCCCACUAACAACACCAGCGGGCCCGGACGCCCCCAACACCCAGACACCACCCACAGUAGCGUCCCUCACAACGGCCCACCAGCAGCCAAAAAGUAAGAAACAACGACCCAACGCCAUCAAGCGCCUACAGCAAAAGAUUGAUGCUGACCCCCGGCACGACCCACUGCCACCUACCGAUAUGCGCAGCCACACAGAGAAAUCUGGCUUUAUACUAAACAACGACCCCGAUGAAAAUGACUCCGGUCCCCCGAACUUUGUCAUGUGGGCACCACACUACUUUGCCAAUGUACAAAAAGACAUGCAAGGAACCAACCGCAUGCCUCGACUUGGAAUUCCCCGCCACCACAGCAAGUUCCCGCAAAACCGCACUCGCCCCAACCCGACCCGUACAAUCCCAGCCCACCUCGCAGACCCCUACUUCCUGGGUAGUCAGGUGGACGACACCAAUCCGCUAAACCCCGUCACAGCUUACAUAUCCGCAAACCCGCCAACAACACCUCCCACCUGUGCUUAUGACUCCCGACCGAGAUGGGCAGACACUGGGGAUUUCAUGAUUGCACCUGAGCCUCCAAACUGGCCGAACAUCACUGGUGCCACACCGGGGGACAGCCACGACCCCCGCCAGGCUGACCACGACCCACAAGGACAAAUGCGUGCAGAAUAUAUGCAGGAGCGUGAACGCCUCCGUGCACACUUGGAUGACCACCCACCCCAACCAAGACCCUUCAAGCGUUGGAUGGGAAUCCGACUCCAGCUCCUGACAGGCAAACUACCCUGGCCGACGCAGGCAUACCAUGUUGCCCAAGCAGCGAAGCAACUAGUGUACUCCCUGUACCACGACAUAGAGGAAAUCUCGCACAUUCAAGCUGGGCCCAUCACUAAAGCCGUCACUGCCCCAGAGAAGGGUGACAGUCUCCACACCGAGCGCUACUAUGAGGUAGCUUGGAAGGACACAACCAUCGUUAAAGGAGCGGCUGAGGCCUACACCCGCAUGAAGUAUACUGGGACUGCUGCCGCACACAUGGGAUACGGGCAAGCGUGCUGCAAACAUUUCUUGCGCAUGAAAUGGGACCCCACCAGCGAACCCGUAGACAAAUGCCCCACCCUCCAAGGGUGGACCCCUGCCAUCUCCGAACACUUGCGGAAACUUGCAGAACCCCCUACACCCAUGCCACAACCCAAGCCCAAAGACGCCCGUCUUACACCUGCCCAACAGCAAGGGCGAUGGACGCAAGCCGACGUGGCCGCGUCCCACGUCCGACGUACCACCAAACAGAACACGCGCAUUGACACCAACCCGUGCAAUCCCUACCUCGACGUCCACCCCACCGGAAGGUAUACAAUCCAAAUCCCAGACACAUACACUGAUGAACGCACCCUCGCCCAUGUCUACAGCCCUACCGGACGCCACAUAGCAUCCAUUACGCUAGGCACCUUGCUGACUCUUAAAGCUCGGUAUGACCACGCCCUAUCUACCCACCAUGACGCAACCAGCCCGCACCGAUCUCAAGGGGGCUUCCCGGAAGACUUGGCUAAACUGCUACUCCGCGCACGGGUAGACAGCAAAGGCAAGACAUGCAAGUCGGCCCCCGCACGUGAGCGCUCUCUCCCCGAGUCCCUGAAGCUGGCGCUGUAUAACUGCCUUGCCUCGACACACUCAGACCCUGACCGCCCAGUGGGGCUGGUGGAACGCUUUGCCUCUCCACUCAACUGCUCGGGCCGGGCCACUAAAUAUUACAGCCAACACGCAGCUGACUCCCUCUUCGGGGCCUCACAUGAUGCGUACACGGCCCCGUUUGAUGGCCUUUCCCUCGCCCACCCUGACCCUGACCCAGACGCCUGCACAAAGGCACUGGCGUGGGCAACAGCAUCGAUCGAACACCUAGAACACCAGGCCACCCCCGCCAUUACCUUCAUGAUUAUCCCACAAGGCAAAGGCGCCGCCAGCCGGUGCCUUGCGAGUCCGCAUGUCACCAUCCUGGCCCUGAUUCCGCCUGGCGUAUCCGCCUCUAGCAUGUUAGAUGGCCUCGGGGCGGCCGACGAGGCUGCCAGCAGCAAGCAGGGCCUGCAGCUACUCCUCAUUGCGAACACCACAGGGGUACAAGCACUCAACUCCAACAACAACCUGACACGUCUCCAAACCUCCCUGGCCGAACUUGGAGCGGUGCCACCACCGACCUCGCAACCCCCAGGGCGCCGACAACCACUGAAGUGGCCCGCGCGCGUAACCCUCCCCCGUGACCGCACAGCCCCACCGGGCCGACCAUACAGCCACCGUGCAAAAGCCCGUGCAAAGCAGCUAACUAGACCCCAAGCCCCAGCAGCACGGGGCCUGGACACAUGCCCUACGCCCAUGCCCACGCUCUCUGCCCUCUACACCACACGAGCUGCCUUCCCCACUCGGAGCAGCUACCUGUACGAUGCCGCCACCAUUGUUUGGACCGACGGAUCUUGCAUCAAAGUUGCGGCCGGUGAAGAUGGCAACGAAAUGAACAAACUCGGCGCCUGCGCGUGGUCCCAACAGACCGAACACAUCUACGUCGAACCAGGCGGCCUCAACAGCACCAACACAAUCCAGAGAGCCGAACUAUCAGCCAUUCUCGUUGCGUUAGAAUACAUCCGCCCCCGACUCUGUCUGCUGGGCAUGACCCAAGUAACCAUAGCCAGUGAUUCCCUAGUGUCUCUCUACUUGAUCCGCCGAGCCCUUACUGCACCACAACGACUCCUACUAUCCAAGCAUAAAAACCUGCUGGAAAACAUACUCCACGAGCUACAAAUGUAUGCCGACGCCGGGGUCACAGUCCAGCUGCUGAAAGUCCGCUCUCACACAGGGCUCCUCGGCAACGAGGAAGCUGACAAAGGUGCCGCCAAAGUCGCCGCCAAUGACAUGGAGGCCAUGGGGCAGGCCAUACGCUUAGCACCAGACGAACCGUGGUCCAACAUCUGGUGGCCCAAACGCAACUCUGACAAUUUCUACCUAAGUGACCUAAACCGUGGAGUCCUGAACUCAUUGCCCCCCGAAGCACAACAAGGCUUUACCAAUAAUACACCAGUGCUGGAGCAAUGGGCGGAAGCAUCUGCCAACAUGUGCCCCACCCUCAGCAACCGCACCCUCGCCAGCUCCACCAGGCACCCCUGGCUGGUCAAGCAAAUACUCUACGCCCGCUACGGCUACCUCUUCAACGCACAGCUUAAACGGCGCUACCGCCUGGGAGGGAACGGCAACUGCCCCCUCUGCCACACCCCUGACUCCGGCGGGCACAUCCUCGGAGGCUGCACACACCCUAAAAUGAAAGGCGCGUACAUCAAUCGGCACAACUGGGCAGUCCAGCGUGUCGCCAAAUGCAUCUCCAAAGGGACCUACGGGAACGGGUUCAUGGUCAUGGACGCGGGCCCGCUAGCCGACCUGCCACACUAUGCGUCUGCACAACGCCCCCCCGCCUGGCUGGCUGCGGAGAGGACAUCAUCACCCCUUAUUACAAGGCUCAGACCUGACAUUCUGUUCAUCCCAAACCUGCCCGCCCAUGAAACACAUAGAGAAGGGUACCGCCCGCCCCUGAACAAAGCACGGCUGCCCAUCUAUAUCCUUGAAAUCGGUUACAGCUCUGACGUUCGCCAUUUGGACAAGCGGGAAGAAAAAUCUCAACAACAUCAAGAACUCAAGCGACUGCUGGAAGCGGCCGGAUGGACGGUCCACUACUCCACCAAUGAAUGCCUUGCGCUCGGAGUGACUGGGGCCAUCCCUUGCAACCUCACUAAGCUGCUCACCUCUCAACUUGGGGUGACCCACACAGCCGCACGAGUAUGCGGAGAGAGGCUCCACACACACGCUGUGAACAGUGCGGGCGGCAUUAUCAAAAUGCGCCGAGUAACCGAGCAGGAACUCAAACCGAGAGGUGGGUGAGCCACGGCUCCCCCACACCUCCUCGGAGUGCGUGGUGAGGUGGCAGCGCGAGGGGGAUGGGCCUCCUCGCCCUAGCCACCUUACCCCGAUAAUCCACGCCAGGCCCCAUGGGCCGGCGUUUGAAUUAUUAUUAUUAUUCCCGCUGCAGUUGAGGCUUAUUGCAAGCGCAACCAGGCUGCACGGCGCGCCACUACUGUGCAGUGGAGCCUGGGCCGUUUCCUACACCUGGUGUUGCAGAGUUCAAAGUGUACAACACGCUAGCUAACCCUCCUGGCAUACUUUUAACGGCGCGAACAGUUCCAGUAACGCUGCUGGCGCAUACAGCUCUCGUGCCAUAAUUAGAAGUUCCUAACGUAUGCCUUCAUAGUUGACUUCGUUGCUGCCGCUACAAGGUUUGCUUCAUAACCCACCCGUUCACAUACCUUGCCACACGAUGCUGCAGGACCGCACGUGCCACAAGCGAUUUCCAUGUGCACGGCAGAGCUUUCACCCCUUCCAGUCCUGCCUUUCCACACGUCGCCCCAAUGUCGGCCUGCAUGUAGCUUGCCUGGGACCAUACUUCCGCCAUGCUCCACCUGCCCCUCAAUCCCUGGGGGGUCCGACAGGGGGGCGCCGCCCCCCUGUCAAAGAGAGAACCCGGGGCCCGAGGGAUCGGUAGUAAUGAUCAUCCCAACAAUGAUAAUGCUGCACUUCGCGCCGCGUUCCAGGGGGGUCGACAGGGGGGCGCCGCCCCCCUGUCCAUUUCCGGGGGGUGCAGGGGGGCUGGCCCCCCUGCGGGAAUACCUUUGUUACGCCCGCCUCAAAUGCUUCCCCGCCCUCCGGCUCUUUCAUGUGGCCACCCUCGGGGGCGGGCGGGGGCAUGCGGGUCUAGAGGCCUUGUAUUAUUGCCCCCGCUCUUAAGGGUCUCGCUACACGUUUUGGGUUACGGCGCCAUAGACGCCGCGCCGCGCCCUCGUUCGCGCGCCCGGCGCGCUAGUCUGAAAGCCCGCAACCCCGCGCACCUAUAACCCCGCGAAACCGCGCGCGGCGUGCGCGCCAGCGCGAGAACCCGCCCAACCGCCGCGACCCAAGCACGGGCGCCCACGAUCCGGGCGCGGGCUCCCGCGCGCGCGCCAGCGCUGCUCCGGCCGCACGCGCGCCCUCGGAGCGCCGGUGCCGGGGUUGGCUUUACGCAGGCGCGAGUCGCGCUGCCGCGCGCGCAGCGCGGCGCCUGGCAUUGCCGUGUUCCCGCCGCCGCGCUGUCGAUGAUCACUGGCACCACCGCUGGUGGUGCUCUCGCCAUGCACCGGCGAGCGUAUCCGCUGGUGAUACACGUGAACAGUAUUGCUCAUGACAUGGCUCAUGAUAUUGGCGCGGGAAACGUUGGAAAAACGCACGGAAACGUUGGAGCCCACGUUUUGUAACUCCGAGGAGGGGUUGCACGCGGCCGGCGGUGGCCCGUUUCAUGCCACUGCUUUGUUUGCACGGCCUGCACAUGCCUACCGGUGCUGCGGCACCAGUUUGCUGUUCCGCGUUGGUCGCGAGCUUGUACAGCCGAUGUACGUGCAGUAAGUUGUAACCCGCGGAUCUUGGCGGCAGCCGCACUGCCCGUGGGUCACCUGUCAGCAUGCUUCCGUGCUGCCACGCCCGCUCAACCCAUUGCAGCAGCACACUAAUAACUAGCUAGGGCCGCCUCGCAGCCAUGCAGUCAUUGCGCACAGCACGCAAAUCCCGCGCGCCGAGGGCAAGCUGCUGAUGACAGGCGCGUUUUCAAGCGGCCAAUGACAGCAGCCUGUCACACGGCAGCCCCUGCAGCAAGCGAUACAAGCCGGCGCCCAGUGCUUUCCCGUUUACCCGCGGCGGCUCCUUUGUUCAGCUCCGCACACACAUACCGUACGUUUAGCUGAUCACCACGCACCCCUAAAAAAAAACAAUUAUUUCUGCACCACGCACCCCUAAACCGGCAACUAUUUUGCACCACGCACCCCAUGGUGCGGUAACUUUACAGAACCACGCAGCCGUGAAACUGCGGGGUGUGUGGUCCCAAGUGUGUGUGUACAAUACAAGGGGCGAGUGCUACUAGCUGACUGCACACCGGUGUCCAUGCCAUGCGUGCUGUAAUCGCCACCGCCACCGCCACCGCUACCGCUACCGCCACCGCCACCGCCUCGCGCUCUGCCCUUGCGGCUGCGGCGGCCGCUUUACCAAGCGCAGCACCAUCCUCAAACAGCUUGUAGUAUGUGGAUUUGCUAACAGCCCCAAAGAACUGGCCGAUGGUUCCCUUUGGCGGCAUCGAGCUUAGUUUGGCAGCUAAAACAUUGAUGCUUUAGGUGGAAUGGAUACUCCGUAGUGGUAUUCGUUGUAUAUUAAGCAAUAGCGAUGAAGAUUUGAGGAUUUGGCGAUUUUGGCGGAAUGGCACGCCCGGGAUGGGUAUUUCUGUGGAACCCCGCACCCCUCCCGAAACAAUUCGUGCAGAACCCCGCACCCCCCCCUCAGGUGCGUGGUAUUUCGGGUUUUCUGUCAAAAUAAUUAAUUACAUGCGUGGUGAUAUGGAUUAGGUACGGUACGUUGUAUUUACCGCUUUCCCGUGCCCGCGGCCACACACAGUUGCAGGCAUCAGCGCAGGCGCGGCGUGGCGUUUCAGGUAAGCUGUUGUUUGCUGCCUGCUUGUUUGCGUGGCCUGAGUUCCCUUGCUGGUGCUGGGUCUCACUCCAUAUCCUGCUCGGCGUGUUUGCAGGGCAGCCAUCCAUGCACCAGUGCGGUGCUGGCGUGCUGCUCGCACGUGAUAUGGACGUUCUUAACCCGUGCUGGUGCAUGCCUGCAGGCGCCGCGCUGACGCUGUGGGUUUGUUUCCUGACCGUCGGCUGUCAGUAGUCCAACGUGCGCGUGCGUGGCCGGGGUAUUAUUCAGCUGGGUUCAUGCGUGCACAAAGGUACUUUGUGGGCCGCAUGGUUUAACGCGCUUGCUCCCCUGCCUGUUGUUUGUCCCGCUGCAGUUGAGGCUUAUUGCAAGCGCAACCAGGCUGCGCGGCGCGCCACUACUGUGCAGUGGAGCCUGGGCCGUUUCCUACACCUGGCGUUGCAGAGUUCAAAAUGUACAACACGCUAGCUAACCCUCCUGGCAUACUUUUAAUGGCGCGAACAGUUCCAGUAACGCUGCUGGCGCAUACAGCUCGCGUGCCAUAAUUAGAAGUUCCUAACGUAUGCCUUCAUAGUUGACUUCGUUGCUGCCGCUACAAGGUUUGCUUCAUAACCCACCCGUUCACAUACCUUGCCACACGAUGCUGCAGGACCGCACGUGCCACAAGCGAUUUCCAUGUGCACGGCAGAGCUUUCACCCCUUCCAGUCCUGCCUUUCCACACGUCGCCCCAAUGUCGGCCUGCAUGUAGCUUGCCUGGGACCAUACUUCCGCCAUGCUCCACCUGCCCCUCAAUCCCUGGGGGGUCCGACAGGGGGGCGCCGCCCCCCUGUCAAAGAGAGAACCCGGGGCCCGAGGGAUCGGUAGUAAUGAUCAUCCCAACAAUGAUAAUGCUGCACUUCGCGCCGCGUUCCAGGGGGGUCGACAGGGGGGCGCCGCCCCCCUGUCCAUUUCCGGGGGGUGCAGGGGGGCUGGCCCCCCUGCGGGAAUACCUGUGUUACGCCCGCCUCAAAUGCUUCCCCGCCCUCCGGCUCUUCAAUGUGGCCACCCUCGGGGGCGGGCGGGGGCAUGCGUGUCUAGAGGCCUUGUUAUUAUUGGCGCCGCCGCCGCACGCCUGGUCGCGCGCCUGACCGGGCCGCCUGGAAGCCAGCACGCUCUUCUAGGCCCUGGCGCUGCCCCGCACGCGCGCCGCGCGCCCCAGCGCGAGACCCCGCCCAACUGCCGCGAUCCAGCUGCCGGCUCCCUGGAUCCGGGCGCCGGCUCCGCGCGGCACCAGCUCGCGCGGUGCGCGCCCAUCCUUCGCCCGCCGGGCCGCGGGAGCCACGCGCUGCCGCCCCCUACAAAUGGGCGCCGCCGGGGGCCGCCACCGCGCGCCGGGCUGACCGCCAGGCCAGGCUUGGUGCCGGCCGCCCCCAUGAUGAUCGCUAGUGCUCAUCGCUGGUGGUGGCAUCAGCUGUGACGUGUCAAAACAUGUUGGCUAGCGUGUCAUUACAUGUGUAUACAUUUUAUACAUUGCUUAUAUACUUGCUACACCAUCACUAGCCACGCGCCGUUGCAAAACCAGCCGGAAACCGCUCGUGGCAGCGGCCGCCUUGCCCCGCCCGCUGCCCCGCCGCGCUAGGCUGCCGCGACUGAUCCAGCUAGGCUGCGCCUGCAGCAUCGCAACCAAAUUGCGCAUGGAGUGCGAGUGGAAGGCGUGUGCCAAUACAAAGGCCCAACUGCUGCCGCCCAACUGCCCAACUGCCAAGUGUGCUGCAGUUACUCGGCCAGCUCCAUUUGUUUGCACUGUUCUUAUGUCGGUGCUUUAAUUGUAAAAUAAUUAAAACCAUUGCAAUCAUAUGCAGCUGCCUCGUGCACCAUGCGCGCAAGUGCGGUUGUGCAGUGGGCUCAACAGCCGAGCAAAACCAGCAGUUACACGCCCUCGCUCCCACUUUCCAAAACGGGCGCUCACUCUAUGCACAAGCCCGCACGAAUGCAUGAUGCUAUCAUUUGUGAACAGGCGCCCCUGCUUAGUGCACCUGGCUCCAGUGCAACCCCUCGCAGCGCAACAGAGUCGCAUUAUUCAAAGUCGCACCUUCCCAAUGUGCACAACCCAGCUGCAUCCAAGAAAGCAAUAUCCGCUCCACGCAUGCUGUAAACUGUGCCACACAGUGGAGUCCAGUUCAUGUCCGUGCAACAACUGUUUGCAACCACCCCAGCAAUGCAGUUCCAGCCUGCGUCCUCGCCUUCCUCCCACCCAAACGUUCCGCAUGCCGGUGCAUGUACUAGGCUCCCCUCUCACCCAUACCCUAGCCACCGUUUCCCCCCGGGGGGGGGUCCGACAGGGGGGCGCCGCCCCCCUGUCAAAGAGAAGCGACGGGCCGCGAGGGGGGCGGGUAAUAAUCCCUACCUGCCACUCCCACCCCCAUCAUCAUCACAGAUCCUUUGUGCUGCAUACCAGGGGGGUCGACAGGGGGGCGCCGCCCCCUGUCUAUCUCCGGGGGGUGCAGGGGGGCUGGCCCCCCUGCGGGGGAAAAAUGAGAUGCUUCCUUAGUUGCUCCCUUCUCCUCCUUCUCCCCCGUCUGUCAUCCCACCGCCUCCCCUUGGGGGCGCGCGGGGGCAUGUGGAUCUAAGGGCCUCGUUAUUGUUCCCGCUCCUAUAUGCCCCGUUAAAUUUUUUUGGGUUACUUUCGGAUGGCGCCGCGGCCUGGUCGCGCGCCUGGCCAGGCCGCCUGGAAGCCAGCACGCUCUUCUAGGCCCUGGCGCUGCCCUGCGCGCGCGCCGCGCGCCCCAGCGCGAGAGCCCGCCCAACCGCCGCGAUCCAGCCGCCGGCUCCCCGGAUCCGGGCACUGGCUCCGCGCAGCGCCAGCUCGCGCGGCGCGCGCCCAUCCUUCGCCCGCCGGGCCGCGGGAGCCGCGCGCUGCCGCCCCCUGCAAAUGGGCGCCGCCGGGGGCCGUCGCCGCGCGCCGGGCUGGCUGCUUGGCCGGGCUCUGUGCCGGCCGCCCCCAUGAUGAGCGCUAGUGCUUGUUGCGUUGCUUGAUCGUCCGGGUCGUCAUCGUGUCGGCCUUGGCGUUGCCGCAUUGUCAGGUUGCGGUCCUUCGGAGGCCGUGUGGGGCGGGCGGGUGCAUCGGGGCCCGCAGCAAGUCGGUUGGUGUAUUCUGAUAUCAGCUCCUCCCACUCCAGGUCAUGCUUUAGGUCACGCUCACGCUCAUUGCUGUUUGCCCACGUAACUUGGCGCAGGAGACGAGUCGACCUUGAUGAAAAGAGGGCCGCACGUGGGGCAUGUGUUGUCUCGAGUGGCCCGGGCGCAGGUGCGGUGGGCGGCGCGUGUGCAGGUAGGGGGCCGGCAGGUUGGGCCGCUGUUGCUGUGUCUGCAUCUGUCGUGCCGGCCCCAUCUGGGUGGGGCUGUGUCGUGCGUGGGCGAGCCUGCAGUGGGUGCUUGAGUUUCCCUAAUCUCUUGUCGGCCGCCGUCCCGAGCCUGCCGUGCGACCGUCUCUACAACGUCCCUCGGCUCUACAACGUCAUGUUCGCUUGUGCGUGUUGCGUUUUUCAAGCAUUUUCAAUAACCGUGUCCUUGAAACGCGCCCAAGGUCUUCCUGCGUACCUGGGCAUCUCUCCGGCCUCCCCUUCUGCUUUGCUAUUGGCUUCCUCGACUGCUUCCCGCUUCUGCUACGGUUUCCCCUUCUGCUUCCCUAUCCGUUUCCUCAACUGUACGUGCUUGCAUUCAGCACCUCUAUCUCUCCAGGGCGGCAGGGUUGAGUGAGACAGCCUCUGCCACGGCUGCAGGCCUGAACCUGCACCACCCGCUUAGGGCGCACUGACGCCCCUGCCUGC